UGGUUACAGAGAAGCUGGCUUCCACGGUGUGAACCCGACUGAAUCACAGGCCGCUUUUUUGUUCUCCCUCGGCCUUGGAGGGCCUGGGACGUUCCUGUUGCCCAACAUCCUGGUGAGCUGAGAACAUUCUGUAGAUUAAUUAGGUUCUCUCCUCUGGCUCAGCAGGUCUGUUCUAGCCAUUUGACCAAAGGCUCUCUGAUAUUUUCUACCAGCCUUAGAACGACAGUCUGCAGAUGUGUGCACAUAAAUGUCUGGGAGGAGCACACAGAUACUGUGGGAGGAGUGGGUCCGGCGUAGCUAUUGGGAGAUCUCGCUCGUACACAUGGCGCUACAUAGAAAGAAUGCCCUGAGGUGAAGGUGACAGCUCGGCAGUUUCUUAAUACCCUGAACUUGAGCGUGGCCUGCGCUAGAGAAAAUACACGGUGCUUCUUAAAAACAAAAGCCAGCAGCCUGCAAGAGGGCUGUGCCUGCGAGUUCCUGGGAGCAGGAGGGGGCUGUUCCUCCGCCCCUGGCUCCAGUUUCACCCAAGUCACUUCACAGCAGUUGGAAGGAGGUCACCAAUUAAUAACAGAGUACACCAGUCAUCAUAAGAAGAAAAAUUCACAUUUAAAGUUUGGAAAGCAACAGGACAAAGGUCUGUCUUCAGUGGUGCGUAGACAUGCUCGUGAUUGAAUUGGAAAUAGUUCUCUUUCCUUCUCUCUGACUUCCUAACUGAAAAGCUGCAGCGUGGGGAGAAAGGCUGCUCAGAAGCCUGGAGCCAGAACACGCACCCCGGCUUUUGCAGGGCCGGCUCACUUGGUUAGAAUCAAAGGAAAAGCCUUGUUAUUUGGGAAGCUGGGCGUCCUCACCAAAUUAGGGGAUUUAAUUUGCAGAUAUCUAAGGAGUGCUUUGAAAUGAAAGAUGAACUAAAAUCUGCUCUGAGGCCCGUGAUUUUUCACCAGUGAAGGACUCUCUUGCUGCUGGACAUACAUGAAAAGCAUCAUCUGAUCUGAAACGCAAGUCCCUGCAAGACAGAGGAGAGACUUUAUAAACAUUUUAUACCAUUCUAUGAAAUCAAUUCGAUUCAGGGCUAGAAUUCAAGAAGUAAUCCAUGGGCAAGUAUAUCUGAUGGUAAACCCAAACGAUUAUAUUGUUAACCUCUUGUACUUUUUUUAAUUUUUUAUUAUUUGAUAUUAUUAUCACAAAAGUCGCUGGAACAGGAUCCAUGAGCUGCUUCUUCACUGCUUAGUGUUUUCAGAAGCUGAUGGAUUAUUAAGCUCCAAUUGAAUACUUGAUUUCCAAUGAUUCCAUUAAUUUUUCUGGUUUGUGGUAGGAUUUGAUUUACUUAUUUUGUACUUUAACACACCAAUAAAAAAUAGAUACUAAGAAAUA
This is a long non-coding RNA of Homo sapiens (human), 1371 nucleotides long. Ensembl annotates it as long intergenic non-protein coding RNA 683. NCBI's taxonomy places the organism in Eukaryota, Metazoa, Chordata, Mammalia, Primates, Hominidae. The record is from Ensembl.